AUUGAACGCUGGCGGCAGGCCUAACACAUGCAAGUCGAGCGGUAGCACAGAGAGCUUGCUCUCGGGUGACGAGCGGCGGACGGGUGAGUAAUGUCUGGGAAACUGCCUGAUGGAGGGGGAUAACUACUGGAAACGGUAGCUAAUACCGCAUAACGUCGCAAGACCAAAGUGGGGGACCUUCGGGCCUCAUGCCAUCAGAUGUGCCCAGAUGGGAUUAGCUAGUAGGUGGGGUAACGGCUCACCUAGGCGACGAUCCCUAGCUGGUCUGAGAGGAUGACCAGCCACACUGGAACUGAGACACGGUCCAGACUCCUACGGGAGGCAGCAGUGGGGAAUAUUGCACAAUGGGCGCAAGCCUGAUGCAGCCAUGCCGCGUGUGUGAAGAAGGCCUUCGGGUUGUAAAGCACUUUCAGCGGGGAGGAAGGCGGUGAGGUUAAUAACCUCAUCGAUUGACGUUACCCGCAGAAGAAGCACCGGCUAACUCCGUGCCAGCAGCCGCGGUAAUACGGAGGGUGCAAGCGUUAAUCGGAAUUACUGGGCGUAAAGCGCACGCAGGCGGUCUGUCAAGUCGGAUGUGAAAUCCCCGGGCUCAACCUGGGAACUGCAUUCGAAACUGGCAGGCUAGAGUCUUGUAGAGGGGGGUAGAAUUCCAGGUGUAGCGGUGAAAUGCGUAGAGAUCUGGAGGAAUACCGGUGGCGAAGGCGGCCCCCUGGACAAAGACUGACGCUCAGGUGCGAAAGCGUGGGGAGCAAACAGGAUUAGAUACCCUGGUAGUCCACGCCGUAAACGAUGUCGAUUUGGAGGUUGUGCCCUUGAGGCGUGGCUUCCGGAGCUAACGCGUUAAAUCGACCGCCUGGGGAGUACGGCCGCAAGGUUAAAACUCAAAUGAAUUGACGGGGGCCCGCACAAGCGGUGGAGCAUGUGGUUUAAUUCGAUGCAACGCGAAGAACCUUACCUGGUCUUGACAUCCACAGAACUUUCCAGAGAUGGAUUGGUGCCUUCGGGAACUGUGAGACAGGUGCUGCAUGGCUGUCGUCAGCUCGUGUUGUGAAAUGUUGGGUUAAGUCCCGCAACGAGCGCAACCCUUAUCCUUUGUUGCCAGCGGUUAGGCCGGGAACUCAAAGGAGACUGCCAGUGAUAAACUGGAGGAAGGUGGGGAUGACGUCAAGUCAUCAUGGCCCUUACGACCAGGGCUACACACGUGCUACAAUGGCAUAUACAAAGAGAAGCGACCUCGCGAGAGCAAACGGACCACAUAAAGUAUGUCGUAGUCCGGAUUGGAGUCUGCAACUCGACUCCAUGAAGUCGGAAUCGCUAGUAAUCGUAGAUCAGAAUGCUACGGUGAAUACGUUCCCGGGCCU
This 1361-nucleotide ribosomal RNA is filed under the name uncultured bacterium. RNAcentral describes it as "bacterial SSU rRNA". It matches the Rfam family "Bacterial small subunit ribosomal RNA", at positions 28 to 1381 of the family's 1533-position model. The record is from RNAcentral.